Melitaea cinxia (Glanville fritillary) is the source of this 584-nucleotide long non-coding RNA. RefSeq lists it as uncharacterized. Lineage: Eukaryota; Metazoa; Arthropoda; Insecta; Lepidoptera; Nymphalidae. The transcript is spliced from 2 exons. The record is from RefSeq and is a predicted model, not a curated record.
GACUAUUCGCAUGCUCUGAGUGUACAAGGUUUUUUGAUCAUCCCACCUGUCAUCUUUGUGUACAGUGUAUACAAUAAGAAGUGAUAAUAUAUAGACUCAUGGCCACGUUGGACACCCCUUGCUGGGGGCUGCCGAUGCCCGUCACCAUCACGAACAAUCACUAAACACGUUUCGUGUGAACUGUCACUGCAUAUUAUCACGUACCACGUGCGUCGCUCGCGUCUGUCUCGACUCGACUGACAUGAUCACACGACUGGCGCGAGUCGGCACUUCGGCAGCCGGCGAGGGCACGCGUACGACCUGCGUGGUGCAGCGAUGCUGUCGCGUGCCUCUUAGGUCCUCUGGGCACGACGCGGGACGCGUGUCACUUGCUCAAGACUCAGAAAAUAUUAUACACAUUGUUACUUAAAUUAUUAGAAAAAAGCAAUAUUAAUUUCACAGAAUUAUAAAUAGAUUUUAUAAGAUGGACAUAUAUAAAUAAAAAUGAAUCCUUGAAAUGUAUGUACGCGCAUAUCUGUCGAACGAUUACACGAAAUUUAUUACCAAGUUCUUUUUUGUGUUCAUUAUUAUAACAACGAGGAUUG